AUGGUUUUUAACCAUCAAAAGAACAUGGUCAUGUCUUGGACAACAGUGCUCUCGGUCUGCUUCUUGAUAGGAACAAUUUCUACUGCUCCAGCUCCAGCUCCAUCAUCACCCCGGCAUUUCAAGAAAAGCCUUGAACUUUUAUACCACCGCCUACAGAAAGAGUGUACUGCGACGAAGUUUGGAGAAUGCUGGGACCACGAAAUAACAGAAGUUAAAUUUCACGUCAACUGCACUCAAGCAAUUUACGAAAACAUGUUCUGUCAAGCCGACAAAGCUUUGAGGAACUUCAAUUGUACAUCAUAUGGCAGAGUGGUGCCGAAUAUCACAAUACCCAGUGAUCUGCAAGGGAACCAGGCCAACUGCAGUCCACGAAAUACUAGCCUUGCUCUGAAAGAAUUCUGCUCGCUACUGAACAGUACCAUUGACGAACUCUUUAGAGAAUGUUGAUAGAAGGAGCAACAGAACUGACAUCCUUGGGUAACAGCCGUCCACAACAACAACAAAAAGUAUUGUACACACACAAAAAAAACCUGGCAUAUUUCCCAAAACACCUAUAACUUUCCAAACUUGUUACCUUUCUAUUUUUCAAUUAAGAAAUCCAAUUGUGCAUGCCAUCUGCCACAAUUAUUUACAAAAAAUUUAAACAACCUUAUACAGAUGCAUCCCCUGUCUUGGAGAUUAGCUGAACUUGCUUUUUAUGGUAGGUAGGUAGAUUCAUGUAUAGAAAACACUGGUAAGAAGGUGCAUGCAAUAUCACACACUGUGCUGUUCACCUUUUCAGUUAUUAUAACAUUGUAAAUGAUCCAUUCACUAGGUUGGACUAAAAUUCUUUUCAAGUCAAGUAGGCCCAAGAGAACAAAAGGGCAGCCUUACAUCUUGGAAGCAAUAGGGACCAGGCAAGUUAAACCAGCACUAUAAGCUAUAUAACAAAUAUUUGAUUUUAGUACUGGUUACACUCCUUUCCCAUAGUUUCUGAUGCAUGGGCCCAUGCAGGGCCAAAGACUCAGGGUGUUCUCAUAUCUGUCAUUAUUAAAGUGAUUUUGAAUGGUUGAUUCCUCUUUCCCUUGCCACUUGAAAAGAAUCAAAGAGAAAUAAUGAUUUAAUUUAUUAAUAUUUAACCUUCACUAUUUUCUUUCAAAUCAUUUGUAGUAUUAGCAAGUACAGUAGUCAGUUUCCAUGGUGUGCCAUUACUGUCUGAAUUGUUCUGCCGAGGCCUAGGGAAUACCAGAUAAAUCCACUGGAACAGGUCAAUUGAAAGCAUUGAAUUUACAUUACUUAUGACUAACUAGAUCCAUUUAUUUCAAUGGGUCUACUUCAGUUGUGAGUACCAUUAGAUUUAGGCCAGUAUCAUCAGAAAUACUUUGCAGAUGUAUAGUAAAAUAGUUGUCUGUAUUUAUCCAUCCAUUCCUAGGAUGCAGCAGUGUGUGAAAGGGUUGGAAUAUAUUUUAUUGCCCGCUUAGUAAUAUCAUGACAUAUUUAUUCAUAUUUUAUUUAACAUAUUUAAUAUUAUAUAUUUGGAAUAUUAUAUAUUCUAAAUAUAUUCUGAUUAUCAUCAGAAAACAAAAUUGUGCUUAAGUUCAACAAGCGCAACAAACUAAUCAUGCACACAAUGCCCUUCCUGAAGAGGGAGUUAAAGCCAUUAUUUAAUAUUUAAGUUAUAUAUUUUGUUGUUCUUGGUUAUAUUAUUAGCAUUUUCUGUUAUCUUCACUUAAAUGUUAUUAUUUCUGUCAGCUUUUGUAAUUUCCUGUAGACCUAUAAUUUAAUAUGUAUUGCAUUUGAACUGAUAAUGUAUUUAACUGUUGCACAGAUAUUAUAUAUCUUAUAUUUUUAUAUCAAGUUUUUAAAGGGAAUAUAUGUUUCAGUUAUACCAAAUAAAUAAUUCAGUUACACACA
Molecule: long non-coding RNA, 1893 nt
Organism: Pogona vitticeps (central bearded dragon)
Lineage: Eukaryota; Metazoa; Chordata; Lepidosauria; Squamata; Agamidae
Source: Ensembl